AGCGUACACGGUGGAUGCCCUGGCAGUCAGAGGCGAUGAAGGACGUGCUAAUCUGCGAUAAGCGUCGGUAAGGUGAUAUGAACCGUUAUAACCGGCGAUUUCCGAAUGGGGAAACCCAGUGUGAUUCGUCACACUAUCAUUAACUGAAUCCAUAGGUUAAUGAGGCGAACCGGGGGAACUGAAACAUCUAAGUACCCCGAGGAAAAGAAAUCAACCGAGAUUCCCCCAGUAGCGGCGAGCGAACGGGGAGCAGCCCAGAGCCUGAAUCAGUGUGUGUGUUAGUGGAAGCGUCUGGAAAGGCGCGCGAUACAGGGUGACAGCCCCGUACACAAAAAUGCACAUGCUGUGAGCUCGAUGAGUAGGGCGGGACACGUGGUAUCCUGUCUGAAUAUGGGGGGACCAUCCUCCAAGGCUAAAUACUCCUGACUGACCGAUAGUGAACCAGUACCGUGAGGGAAAGGCGAAAAGAACCCCGGCGAGGGGAGUGAAAAAGAACCUGAAACCGUGUACGUACAAGCAGUGGGAGCACGCUUAGGCGUGUGACUGCGUACCUUUUGUAUAAUGGGUCAGCGACUUAUAUUCUGUAGCAAGGUUAACCGAAUAGGGGAGCCGAAGGGAAACCGAGUCUUAACUGGGCGUUAAGUUGCAGGGUAUAGACCCGAAACCCGGUGAUCUAGCCAUGGGCAGGUUGAAGGUUGGGUAACACUAACUGGAGGACCGAACCGACUAAUGUUGAAAAAUUAGCGGAUGACUUGUGGCUGGGGGUGAAAGGCCAAUCAAACCGGGAGAUAGCUGGUUCUCCCCGAAAGCUAUUUAGGUAGCGCCUCGUGAAUUCAUCUCCGGGGGUAGAGCACUGUUUCGGCAAGGGGGUCAUCCCGACUUACCAACCCGAUGCAAACUGCGAAUACCGGAGAAUGUUAUCACGGGAGACACACGGCGGGUGCUAACGUCCGUCGUGAAGAGGGAAACAACCCAGACCGCCAGCUAAGGUCCCAAAGUCAUGGUUAAGUGGGAAACGAUGUGGGAAGGCCCAGACAGCCAGGAUGUUGGCUUAGAAGCAGCCAUCAUUUAAAGAAAGCGUAAUAGCUCACUGGUCGAGUCGGCCUGCGCGGAAGAUGUAACGGGGCUAAACCAUGCACCGAAGCUGCGGCAGCGACGCUUAUGCGUUGUUGGGUAGGGGAGCGUUCUGUAAGCCUGCGAAGGUGUGCUGUGAGGCAUGCUGGAGGUAUCAGAAGUGCGAAUGCUGACAUAAGUAACGAUAAAGCGGGUGAAAAGCCCGCUCGCCGGAAGACCAAGGGUUCCUGUCCAACGUUAAUCGGGGCAGGGUGAGUCGACCCCUAAGGCGAGGCCGAAAGGCGUAGUCGAUGGGAAACAGGUUAAUAUUCCUGUACUUGGUGUUACUGCGAAGGGGGGACGGAGAAGGCUAUGUUGGCCGGGCGACGGUUGUCCCGGUUUAAGCGUGUAGGCUGGUUUUCCAGGCAAAUCCGGAAAAUCAAGGCUGAGGCGUGAUGACGAGGCACUACGGUGCUGAAGCAACAAAUGCCCUGCUUCCAGGAAAAGCCUCUAAGCAUCAGGUAACAUCAAAUCGUACCCCAAACCGACACAGGUGGUCAGGUAGAGAAUACCAAGGCGCUUGAGAGAACUCGGGUGAAGGAACUAGGCAAAAUGGUGCCGUAACUUCGGGAGAAGGCACGCUGAUAUGUAGGUGAAGUCCCUCGCGGAUGGAGCUGAAAUCAGUCGAAGAUACCAGCUGGCUGCAACUGUUUAUUAAAAACACAGCACUGUGCAAACACGAAAGUGGACGUAUACGGUGUGACGCCUGCCCGGUGCCGGAAGGUUAAUUGAUGGGGUUAGCGCAAGCGAAGCUCUUGAUCGAAGCCCCGGUAAACGGCGGCCGUAACUAUAACGGUCCUAAGGUAGCGAAAUUCCUUGUCGGGUAAGUUCCGACCUGCACGAAUGGCGUAAUGAUGGCCAGGCUGUCUCCACCCGAGACUCAGUGAAAUUGAACUCGCUGUGAAGAUGCAGUGUACCCGCGGCAAGACGGAAAGACCCCGUGAACCUUUACUAUAGCUUGACACUGAACAUUGAGCCUUGAUGUGUAGGAUAGGUGGGAGGCUUUGAAGUGUGGACGCCAGUCUGCAUGGAGCCGACCUUGAAAUACCACCCUUUAAUGUUUGAUGUUCUAACGUGGACCCGUAAUCCGGGUUGCGGACAGUGUCUGGUGGGUAGUUUGACUGGGGCGGUCUCCUCCUAAAGAGUAACGGAGGAGCACGAAGGUUGGCUAAUCCUGGUCGGACAUCAGGAGGUUAGUGCAAUGGCAUAAGCCAGCUUGACUGCGAGCGUGACGGCGCGAGCAGGUGCGAAAGCAGGUCAUAGUGAUCCGGUGGUUCUGAAUGGAAGGGCCAUCGCUCAACGGAUAAAAGGUACUCCGGGGAUAACAGGCUGAUACCGCCCAAGAGUUCAUAUCGACGGCGGUGUUUGGCACCUCGAUGUCGGCUCAUCACAUCCUGGGGCUGAAGUAGGUCCCAAGGGUAUGGCUGUUCGCCAUUUAAAGUGGUACGCGAGCUGGGUUUAGAACGUCGUGAGACAGUUCGGUCCCUAUCUGCCGUGGGCGCUGGAGAACUGAGGGGGGCUGCUCCUAGUACGAGAGGACCGGAGUGGACGCAUCACUGGUGUUCGGGUUGUCAUGCCAAUGGCACUGCCCGGUAGCUAAAUGCGGAAGAGAUAAGUGCUGAAAGCAUCUAAGCACGAAACUUGCCCCGAGAUGAGUUCUCCCUGACUCCUUGA
This 2787-nucleotide ribosomal RNA is filed under the name Escherichia coli. Its description in RNAcentral is "bacterial LSU rRNA". It matches the Rfam family "Bacterial large subunit ribosomal RNA". The record is from RNAcentral. Lineage: Bacteria; Pseudomonadati; Pseudomonadota; Gammaproteobacteria; Enterobacterales; Enterobacteriaceae.